This 370-nucleotide long non-coding RNA is filed under the name Arachis ipaensis. RNAcentral describes it as "long non-coding RNA (AIPA_LNC000999)". Lineage: Eukaryota; Viridiplantae; Streptophyta; Magnoliopsida; Fabales; Fabaceae. The record is from RNAcentral.
UGGGUGAUGUUGUUGGACGGGCUUCGUCGCGGAUGUUCUCGUCGGCAGGGCGGCGCUGCUUGGGGGAGGUGAGAGGAGUGGUGGGCUGGGAUUGGGCCUUGAUAGGGAAGUGGGUGGGCCUGGGCCUGGGGGGUUGGUGGGUUUUGAGGGGAAAAGGGGAAGAUGCGUGGAAGAGGGAGGUAGAAGAAGCAGCAGCCAUUGAGGGAUUUAGAAUGUGAAAGAUGAGAAAGCAGCUCUGAAUCUAAACGCUUUAAAUACUGUUUGCGAUCCGCCGCCGUGAUUCCACUCUCACUGGAUCACUGCCAACUUGCCUUUCACACUGUCGUUUCUUCUUUAUGUUUUGCCAACUGCACUUGACUACUUAGGCCCA